This is a long non-coding RNA of Dermochelys coriacea (leatherback sea turtle), 443 nucleotides long. RefSeq lists it as uncharacterized. The transcript has 2 exons. Lineage: Eukaryota; Metazoa; Chordata; Testudines; Dermochelyidae. The record is from RefSeq and is a predicted model, not a curated record.
GAGGGACUGAAACUAUAAAAAGGAAAGGAGAACGCCCCAAUAUACCCCUCUCUUCCCUUUCCCAUCACAUUCGCUACACCUGAAGCAACAAAGGAAGCCUUCACUGGAUUCUGAGGGAAGGAGUUCUGAACUACAGGGUUUGGUCAGUAAGACUGCUGAAAGCACAUGGCUACAGACCUCCGUUUCACCAGCCACCAAGAGGACCAGUAAGCUAUGCUGAAAAAAAAAGCUACCUGUAGAUAUCUCCAGGUGUUUGUUUGCUGACAGUUGUGAAGCAUUUAAAAGGACUGAAAAGCUGCCAUUUCUCAAGCUCUGAAAAGUCCAGGUGAUACACAGUACACACUAUGAUCAUAUUACAAAGACUGAAAAAUCAUCUCUGAGAGUUCAAAAGGAAAUGUGUUCUGAUGUGUGUGCUAAAAUAUUAAAAAAAUUGUUGAUGCAAA